RNAcentral lists this transfer RNA (84 nucleotides) under Felis catus (domestic cat). It matches the Rfam family "tRNA". From Rfam's summary of the family: Transfer RNA (tRNA) molecules are approximately 80 nucleotides in length. Lineage: Eukaryota; Metazoa; Chordata; Mammalia; Carnivora; Felidae. The record is from Rfam by way of RNAcentral.
GCCUAGAUGGCUCAGCAGUUAAGCAUCUGACUUUGGCUCAGAUCAGGAUCUCAUGGUUUGUGAGUUUGAGCCCUGCUUUGGGCU